This 429-nucleotide ribosomal RNA is filed under the name Bacteroidota bacterium. Its description in RNAcentral is "Bacteroidetes bacterium partial 16S ribosomal RNA". It matches the Rfam family "Bacterial small subunit ribosomal RNA", at positions 355 to 776 of the family's 1533-position model. The record is from RNAcentral. Lineage: Bacteria; Pseudomonadati; Bacteroidota.
UAGGGAAUCUUCCGCAAUGGACGCAAGUCUGACGGAGCAACGCCGCGUGAGUGAAGAAGGAUUUCGGUUCGUAAAACUCUGUUGUUAGAGAAGAACAGCGCAUAGAGUAACUGUUAUGCGUGUGACGGUAUCUAACCAGAAAGCCACGGCUAACUACGUGCGAGCAGCCGCGGUAAUACGUAGGUGGCAAGCGUUGUCCGGAUUUAUUGGGCGUAAAGCGAGCGCAGGCGGUCAAUUAAGUCUGAUGUGAAAGCCCCCGGCUCAACCGGGGAGGGUCAUUGGAAACUGGUUGACUUGAGUGCAGAAGAGGAGAGUGGAAUUCCAUGUGUAGCGGUGAAAUGCGUAGAUAUAUGGAGGAACACCAGUGGCGAAGGCGACUCUCUGGUCUGUAACUGACGCUGAGGUUCGAAAGCGUGGGUAGCAAACAGG